Molecule: long non-coding RNA, 324 nt
Filed under: Phoenix dactylifera (date palm)
Lineage: Eukaryota; Viridiplantae; Streptophyta; Magnoliopsida; Arecales; Arecaceae
Description: long non-coding RNA (PDAC_LNC022705)
Source: RNAcentral
GCCUAUCCCUUGUUCCAAGUCCCUUGACUGGAACAAGCACAAUAAUCAAAUGUUUUACAAAGAUUUAAAAGCUCUUAUGAAAGCAAAUAUAACAAUGAAAAGCAACAAAACCGGAAGAACCCUUUUUGCCAUUGGAAACGUGGGUAAUGGUGGUUCUUCCGAUGUGGAUCACGUUGGCUUGAAUGCGAGCUUUGAAUGCCGAGUGGGAGUGAGUAGUUGAGCACGAAAUCAGAUGAAGAAAACUUGAAUGCACUUGAUUUCUUCUCUUGAAAGCACCAACUCCCUUGAACCUCUUUUUCUUUCUUCUCUCUUGAAUGAUCUUGU